Molecule: ribosomal RNA, 497 nt
Filed under: uncultured bacterium
Lineage: Bacteria
Description: partial 16S ribosomal RNA
Rfam family: Bacterial small subunit ribosomal RNA
Source: RNAcentral
GAUGAACGCUGGCGGCGUGCCUAAUACAUGCAAGUCGAGCGAACGGACGAGAAGCUUGCUUCUCUGAUGUUAGCGGCGGACGGGUGAGUAACACGUGGAUAACCUACCUAUAAGACUGGGAUAACUUCGGGAAACCGGAGCUAAUACCGGAUAAUAUUUUGAACCGCAUGGUUCAAAAGUGAAAGACGGUCUUGCUGUCACUUAUAGAUGGAUCCGCGCUGCAUUAGCUAGUUGGUAAGGUAACGGCUUACCAAGGCAACGAUGCGUAGCCGACCUGAGAGGGUGAUCGGCCACACUGGAACUGAGGCACGGUCCAGACUCCUACGGGAGGCAGCAGUAGGGAAUCUUCCGCAAUGGGCGAAAGCCUGACGGAGCAACGCCGCGUGAGUGAUGAAGGUCUUUGGAUCGUAAAACUCUGUUAUUAGGGAAGAACAUAUGUGUAAGUAACUGUGCACAUCUUGACGGUACCUAAUCAGAAAGCCACGGCUAACUACGUG